UACGGAGGGUGCAAGCGUUAAUCGGAAUUACUGGGCGUAAAGCGUGCGCAGGCGGUGAUGUAAGACAGGUGUGAAAUCCCCGGGCUUAACCUGGGAACUGCAUUUGUGACUGCAUCGCUGGAGUGCGGCAGAGGGGGAUGGAAUUCCGCGUGUAGCAGUGAAGUGCGUAGAUAUGCGGAGGAACACCGAUGGCGAAGGCAAUCCCCUGGGCCUGCACUGACGCUCAUGCACGAAAGCGUGGGGAGCAAACAGG
RNAcentral lists this ribosomal RNA (253 nucleotides) under uncultured bacterium. RNAcentral describes it as "partial 16S ribosomal RNA". It matches the Rfam family "Bacterial small subunit ribosomal RNA", at positions 524 to 776 of the family's 1533-position model. The record is from RNAcentral.